Molecule: long non-coding RNA, 16795 nt
Filed under: Capsicum annuum
Lineage: Eukaryota; Viridiplantae; Streptophyta; Magnoliopsida; Solanales; Solanaceae
Description: long non-coding RNA (CANN_LNC008530)
Source: RNAcentral
AUGUCACUCCAAGUGCAUCUAUAGUCCAAAAUCUCCUUCUUAAUGCAUCAAAGCUCAUCCAAUGUUAUCAAAAUCAAGCCCUGCAACAACUAAUCAUGUCCAAUAGUUAGAGAAACAAUUAUAGCUCAAACACAAUACAAUUAACACGUUUUAGCUCAUAGAACAAGUCUAAAUUUGGAUAAAUGUUGGCACUUGAAUGUAUAAAUACACCCAAGAUCAGAUAAUUGGGAUCCAUAGGUGACUCAAGAGGUUAAUAUCUGCAAUACCAGACAACAUUAAUGGAAUGCCCUAGAUACAAUAUCCUAUAUCAAAUAAAUCCUAUAUACCAUAAAUAUUAUAGAUGUAACAAUGCUAAUAUUGAUUUUUAAUUUUUAGUGCAUUUUGAUAAUUUUAUCCCUCUCUAUCGUUGUAUUAUGUUAUUUAUGUGUGAUCUCUCUUUAAAAAAGGUGGAAACCUAUAGCUUAGAACUCCCAAAACAUGGAACAAAAAUUUGAUUUUUGAAAAAAGGUUAUUUCUAUAUCUAGUGCAUGCAUUACCGCGAGUUCACUGACCAAGGUGACUGGCCAACGCUAUCGUGGGCCAGAGAUGUGACCAUGCUGCACAAGUAGGGCUUGGACCUAAGCCUUCACGACGUUACAGCUGGAAUGCAAUAGUGUUUAAAUGUCUAGCCACUCAGCAUUAUCGUGCUCUGUUCCGUUAUUGUUUAGCAAAUGUAGAUGCACUUCAUUUGAUCACGGUGCCCCAACUGACAGCAAAUUCUGCAAUCUCAUUUUGGGUCCAAGUGAUCCAAACUUUACAUGGGUGACAUGGGUCUCAACUCAAACCACCCUAAUGAGUCCCAAAUGGUAAAAAUUACUUGUACAAAGGCUCAAAAUAUGAUUUGGGCAUAAUUACUCCAAACAAAGGAUCGGGUUGUAACAGUAAUGGGUAUUGGAAAAGAAUAUGGAGGUAAAGGAACACCUACAAAGUUAGGCAUAUAAAUUUUUUUCAGAAUAACUUUAGGGUGUAAAUAUGUUUUUCCCUUUCUAAUAAUAUUAUUUGUAUCAAGCUACAUAGCUUCUCAUUGCCUGCAUAGGAAUUGAAUCUGCAUGACUUCUGUGGUCAAAGUUGUUGGGGCAUAUCAUAGUUAAAAAUGCAAAUGGGAACCUUUUUCUGAUUCCUUAUCUUUUAGUUUGCUUGAACAAGUUAGAUUAAUAAAGUCACUGCGAUGUUCCUUGGGAAGAAGCUAUGAAUUAAUUCAAGAUUUUAUUCUUUCGGACUAGAAAAUCUACGCAAUCAAUACGCAGGUGUAAAUAACUGUGUUGCAGUCGUGACUUUAGUAGUUGAGUUUAGAGAUCAGAAAUUUAACCUUGUGUAACAACAAGUGUUAAGAGUGAUCAAUGACAUUUUCCAAAGAGGAGCGACCUCAGAUCUAUAUUUUGGAACCUGAACUUGAUUUUCUAGUCUGUUUUUGUUUGCGAAAAUAGUUGACUGGUCAGAUAUUCUCGUCUAUAAAUGGUUUCUUUUUGAUGGAUUGUAAAAUUUAACUCUGACCCUCUAAAGUAAAUAACUCUAUCAUUGAUGACUGGUAGAGAGAAUAACUAUGUUUCAGAACCAGCUACUAAAAAAGCAAAUGGUAGCUUGUAAAAUUGCUAUUUAAUGUAUGAUUUUUAACAAUAAUGAGGGAAUGUUAUGUGUAAAAAUGAAGACGAUGUCCAGUUUAAUUUUUUAUUUUUUUUAAAAAAAAAAAGAAGCAGCCCGAUUCACUGACUUUCGCUAUGCACAGUUUCGGAGAAGGGUCGGACCGUAAACGUCUAUUGUAUGCUGACUUACACUAUAUUUCUGUAAGAGGUUGUUUCCACGACUCGAACCUCUUGGUAACAUGCAACAACUUCACCAGUUAUUCCAAGACUCCCCUUUGAUGUCAAGUUUUAUUUGAUACAUAUAAGUUUUCUUAUAUCCUUCUAAAGGUAAGAGUAAGGUCGUAACGUAUUACCUUCCCCAGACCCCAGUUGUGGUAUUAUUAGACUGGACUUUUUGUGUUGUAUCUAUUUUCUUAUAUAUUAUUUUUGUUAACCUUUUAAAGUACUAUUUUCCUGUUAAAAAGAAAAAAAGAGGAAGAAUUUCUCAAGAUUCAAUUUAAAAUUAUCAGACCGCAUAUAAUGUGGAUGAUAAGCAAGCAUCUGGGUUUUAUUCAUUAGCACAAAAUGACGCGGGAAGAACGUUGUACAGGGCCAAUCCAUGGCCAAAAUCUCCCUGUUCUCUCUGCCUUCACGAAUGUUAAUCCCUUAUAGAAUUGUACGCUAUAGUAUAGGGUCUUGUACGCUAUAGUAUAGGGUCUUACUUUUAUUUGUCAUAUUGAAGGUUCUCCAUGUUGAGGUUUUGAUUUUAAUGAUGACUUUUGUAUGUAUGCAGGAUACCAAAAAGGAGAAACACAUUAUAGAUGUAGAAUUGGGUAACUGAAAAAUCAAGGAGCAAACCAAGAAACGUCAGUAAUUGUCUUGAAGGAUUAUUCAAAGAAAUGGCUACAAUUUCCCCAAAAAAACUUAGAAGACUGGGACAUCGGUUUAAGAGGAAGAAAUACUGCCCCAAGAAACUAGGAGCAUUCCACAAAUUCAAAGGAUUAGGACUCAAAUUCAAGAUCUCAAGAAAGAAGGCUUUGAAGAAUGAAAUCUGCCAAGGUGUGACUUUUCCUUAUUCUUGGAAAGGAAAUUCUCAUUUACCUUAAUUUCCAAGGAUCAAAAUCUCUUGGGUUGCCAUUUCUUCAAUCUCCAAACUUCUAGUUUUCUCCUCUAUUUCAGGAAGACAUUGGUUUACCUAAUCGGUAUUCAAACUGUAUUAGCCAACUACAAGUCUUUGCUCUACUUUUAAAUAAGCAUUCUAUUACUUAGUGCGAUAGUAUGUAACAAAAAAAGAGAGGAGAGAAAAACAAUUGGUGAGGCAUUGAACCAAAGAAAUAAUAAGAGAAGAAAAAGAUUGAGAAAAGAGUGAAAAAAGAGAAAAGAAAAGAAUGAGAAGAGAGACAUUGAGAGUAGCAAUAGAAGUUCUGUUCCCAAAGUUGUACCAAAACCAACCAUUUGCAAGGACUUAGAAGAGAACGCCCUUCUUGCACUUUCACUUGCACUCCUGACAUCCUAAAUUGCAAGGCUGCUACCGAAAUUCGUCAAUGUAUGUUUCCUAUUAAAUUUACUAUUUAUGAUUUUUUUUCAUUUAAAAAUUUGUCAUGAAAUAAAUACAUCACGAAGCUGCUAGCAAUAUUCAUGAGAUUAUGUACAUGCCAUUACAUACUUCUUUUCCUAUUCUGCUAAUAACAGUAUGAUGCAUCACAUGAAUGUUUGGAUGUCAGUAAGAAAUGCACAACAGCAUUCUCUUCUAGGUUACAACUGCGUGGAAAAAAAUUGUUUUACUAUAACCUAGUUGGUUGCAGGUGGUUAAAGAUCUAACUUACAAGCCAGAUCUUUCUCAGGAGUUUAUUCCCUGUACAGUAAUUUAUGUAGCGGCAGCUUCCAGCUGUUCGUUUAGGAAAUGUUGGAUUUUGUGUUUUCAAGAUAAACUGAUCCAAUGAUCUAUAUAAGAACCUGUAUUCAGCAUGAUCCAUUUUCGCUGGCAAGUGGAUUUAUCAUAUUUGUACUACUUUGCAUGGUCUGUCUUUCUCACUUAGACGAAUUAUCUGUUAGCUAUGUCAGUCCAAUUGCCCAUGGAUAUGGUAUCUGUUGUUACUGGAAUAUAAUCAAGAAUUUAUUUCCACUUUUAUUUUUUAGUUGUCAAACUAUGAUCAAGAGUUUCAACACAAAAUCAGCAUAUUAUAUCACACCGAUAUUUAUUAUGUUCAUCUAAAUGUGCAAAGUCGAAUCUCCCGAUAGAUCUUUACAAGGACGUCAUGGAAGAAACAACAAACCCAGAGACAGCUAAGGAUGCACCCUGAGCUUAGAUUGAUUCAGUGGAUAUCAAGGAAGGAGAAAAUCCUAGUGAACUCUAGAAAGACAUGAAAGCUCCUCCGGGAAAUUAAAUGUGGCAUUGGUGAAGCCUGAACGGGAUUCCUCUCAGAAACAGCAAGCUGAAGAUGAUGGAGUCCAAGCGACAGGAUCAUAUGUUGUUGGAGGUUCAACAUUUGGUUGGAACUUUAUAACAUACACCAGCAGGAGGCCAUCUAUUAUGGAUGAAGCAAAGUGUCCUUCCGGUCUGUAAAUGUUAAAUCUGAAUGAUGUUAGAAGCAAAGAGUCCUUCCAUUCUGCAAACGUUAAAUCCGAAUAAAGUUCCCAAAGUUCACUUUUACUCUCUACUUUUGGAAUUAGAAUGGCUUGAUUGUGUGUAUUAUAGGACAACAACAAUAACAAACCCAGUAAAAUCCCACAAGUGAGGCCUAGGGAGGGUAAUGUGUAUGCAGACCUUACCACUACCUCGAGGAGGCUGAAAGGCUAUUUUCGGAAGACACUCGACUCAAGUGUAGCACAUCCAGAUACAAAGAAGAGGAAAAUAGUGUAGAAAAUAUGAUAACUAAUCUGCCAAAAAAUAGUUUGAUAGUCAAAAAAUAGUAGACAAUAACAAUGAUAAAUAUUUACGGCUAAAUCCUAAGUUACCAUACUACGAUGCAUGAUAACACUCCUACAUGACUAACCUUCUACUCUAAUAUGCGUCCUCCACAUCCCCUAUCUGAGGUUAUGUCCUUCGUAAAUAUGUGUCAUCUCCAAUCUAAUCACCUCACCCCAAUACAUCUUCGCCCUACCUCUACCCCUCUUAAUACCUACGAUAUAAAACAACUCAUAUGUUCUUACUGAGAAGGGCGUCUAAACCUCGCCUGACCACAUGACCAAACCAUCUCCAUCUCACUUUUUUCAUCUUGUCCACCACGGAGUCCACAACCAACUUAUCGCGAAUAACCUCAUUUCUGAUUCUAUCACACCUAGUAUGUCUACACAUCCAUCUCAACAUUCUCAUCUCUGCAACAUGCUUCUAAAUAUGAGAGUUUUUAACUGGCCAACACUCAGUCCGAUAUAGAAACAUUACUAUAACCAUCAUUCUACAAGAAUUACCAUUAAGUUUUGGAGAUAUCAUUUUAUCACACAAGACUCUAGAGGCAAGACUCCAAUUAACCCAUGUCACACCAAUACGAUGAGUGACAUCACCAUUUAUUACCCCUACUACCUUGGAUAAUAGAGCCAAGAUAUUUGAAAUGAUAGGUCUUGGGAAGAGACUAUGUACCCAAACCCAUAUCCACGUCUUUCUCAUAGAACCCCUCAUUGAAUUUGCACUCAAAAUAUUUUAUUUUAGUCCUGCUCAGCCUAAACCCUUUAGCUUUCAUAGUUCGUCUACAUACCUUUAACAUUUCAUGCAUGGCAUUAUGCAGCUCGUCGAGCAAUACUAUGUCAUUAGCAAAUAAGAAAAUCAUGACACCUUAUCUUGGAUACCCUGCGUCAAUACAUCCAUCACCAAAGCAAAGAGGAAAGAACUAAGAGUUGAUCUCUUGUGCAACUCAAUUUACAUAGGGAAAUGCUCUGAGUCUCCUCCUACCUUCCUAUUAGCUCCAUCAUCAUGUUCUUUAAUGCCUUAAUUUAUGCCAUCGGUGCUCCCUAGCCUCCAGGAAUCCUUAAAGCACUUCCUUCAGAACUUUAUGUCGUAGGCCUUCUCACUGUCAGUGAACACCAUAUGUAAAUCCCAUUUCUUUUCUCGAUAUAUAUCCAUUAGUCUCCUCACCAGAUGGAUGGCUUCCGUAGUAGAUCUCCCUGACAUGAAUCCAAGAUGGUUCUUAGACAUGGAUAUACCCCUCGUCACCUUCAUCUCUACCACUCACUCCUAAACUUUAACAUUUUGACUAAAUAACUUGAUACCCUUAUAAUUGUUACAAUUCUGGAUGCAAUAGAUUUGGUUAUUUGGUUAGUCACCUACAACCUCUCUCUUCCACCUUCCCUCUCUAUUAAUUAGUUGGAUGUGUCGAGUAGAACUACUGGAUCAUCUAAAGGUUAAAAUUUCAACUAGGAUCCACCUAUUUACUACUAAUUUAUCAACUUGUCUCAAUUGGGUGAAUCUCUUUUACUGAGCAUGGGAUGUUAAAAAACUUACAUAUAUGUAACAAUCUGUUUAAGACAUAUAAUAUUACAAGUAAUAUGUUGUAAUCAGGAAAUUCAAAAUUUAAAGAGGUAAAUAUAGAAAGAAGCAAAAGCGAUUUAAUAUUUACUAUAUAUAACAACAUACCUAGUGUACUUUCUCAAAGUUGGGUCUAAAGAGGAUAGUGUAUGCAGACCAUAUCUGUCAUGACUUGAACCAGGGCCUAGUCAUGAUGGGUAUCUCAAGCUCACCAUGGAUUGGAAACUAUCUCCUUAGCCUAACCUCAAGACCACGAUAAUAAGAAUAAACAAUGGAAGAUGGUUGAGAGAGGAGAUGAGUGAAAUUUAGUAGUGCAACAUAUUCUGAGUCACAAUAAUCAUAGAUUGCGAAUUUUAAAGGAGACGGCCAAGAGCACGAUAAUCAUAAAACAAGGAUUAGCAGUGCGACAUUCUGAGUCAGAGAGGAGAUGAGUGGAAUUUAUCUAAACCAAGGUCAAGAGACGGUUGAGUGGUAUAUAUCUUGUUAGAUUUAGCAUGCAACACAUAGGAAUAAAAUGCUAGCACGAAUAACCUAUGUAGUUAUGAAUUCAUGAAAAACACAGUCCUACUUCAUCAUUCUCAAGAUUUUCUCAACAUACACUGAUAUUUAAUUACCUGUUUACAAAUUAUUGACGUGUUUUUCUUAAUCCCCCCUUUUAGAAAUGGUUUAUUGAUAGUGUAAAUAAAUUGCAUUAACCUAGAUCCUAAUCAUAUUCCUCGUGAAAUCAAACCCAACCUAGUUGGGUUCUACAUUUGUUCAACGGCCGCUUUAUAUUUUUUGAAAGAUAAUUUGGGCGACAUCAAAUUUUGAUGCCAUUGCCAAGGAAUAAGAUUUACGGUUAGAUCAACUGCAUUUAUUUGACUAUUUGUCCUUGUAUAUAUUUUAUUUGUCUUAUAAUUAUUUUUAUAUCUAUUUUUAUUAAUUUUUAUAUUUUACUACUCUUUUUAAUGUGACAUCUUUACAGGAGAAAGUAUAGAGUGAUGAAGACUCCUAUUUUAUUGAUCCUUAUCCCUUUGAUAUAGUGCAUUAUUGAAGGAGUGUGAUAGAUAUAUUGUGGGAUCACAAUGAGAGCAUGAUAGGAAAAUUGACAUUACUCCAAAAGAAAAAUAUGAUUUCAUUCAAAACUUUGAUAAGUUUGGCUUGGAUAUUCACUAACAUAAAAGAAGAUUUGAAUGUAAAUGUUUAUGCGUGUAAAGUUCAACAAUAUUGUUUUGAGUUGUAUGAGACUGAAUAAAUUUUAUAAGCCAAAUUGAGGAGCUAAAAUUCGAGGACCAAAUAAUUGAUCAUAGCUUUUAUUUAGGGAUAAUACUCACAAAAAUACCUAAACUUUGACCGAAUUUUCAGUUGACCAUACUGAACUUUGCGGGGGUCCGAUUACUCCCCUAGACUUUUUAAAGUGGAUUUAAUUCCCCACCGAAAUGCUAUACCCAGUUUCAGUGGCUAGCGAUGUAAUACACGCGCCGAUCUCAUUUUUACACGUGCAUCUUUUGGCAGAUGGCAGUGUAAUACACGCGUCAACCUCGUAUUUACACGUGUCCAGGUGGGAAGAUAUAUGCCAUUAAAAUACGAAAAAAAAUUCUAGGGGUGUAAUAGGACCCCCGCAAAGUUCAGUAUGCUUAACUGAAAAUCCGGUCAAAGUUCAGGUAUUUUUAUGAGUAUUAUUCCUUUUAUUUAUGUUGUCACUAUUGAAAAUAGUAAACUAGAAUUACUUGAGGAUGUAUAUAAUAAUGCAAUUCAUGAGUUGAGAUGUAUUUGACCUCAUUCUAAUCCAUUUUCAGAUUAUGUUAGGAUAGUAAGGAUUAAACGAUUCAUCUGAGCCUAUAGAAAAGUGUAAAGAGGAAGAAAAAUAUUUCUAUAUUCUUGAAUUUGUUGUGCCAAAGUCGAGAAAUUGCAUUCCCCACUAAAGGGUCAAGAACUGCAAUAUGCCACAUCUAUUGCUUAAUUUUUUUACUCUUUUAACACCGUCUCUUGAGCGUAGUAGGAAAAAAAAAAAAGAAAUUACGGGUGCAAUUCAUAUGUUAAAAGUGGAAAAAAAAAAUGGGAGGCAACCCAAUUAGUAGUUUAACUUCUUUCUUUUUUUAAUAAUAUCAUAUUAUUUUUGUAGCUGUUAAUUUUUCUUUUUACUUUUGUAGAUUUAGGGAAAGUCUGAGUACUCAAAUUUAAAGCUAAGAAUCAUGUUGAAUUUAAGUGUGAGGUUUGCACGAGCCUUGAUAAAAAUUGAAGAAACAUGUUGUUGGCUAGGUCCUAGAGGGUCUCAGAAAUUAUAUUUAACACUCAUUUUAUUUGAUUUAUUUGUUUGGGACCACACAUGAUUUUAAAUAUAGGGUGAAAUAUCUUUCAAUAUUUGUUAAGGUAAAGUAUGCUAUAUGUUUUUAUUUAUUUAUUUAUUUAUUUAUUUAUUUAUUUAUUUAUUUUUAGUUGAAAAAACUAAAGAGAAGAAAAUUGAAAAAGUACCAAAAAUACAAAAGAUUUUACUUUUAUUCUUUAUAUUAUAAUAGCUUUUGUUUUUAAUUUUUAAUAUAUCUAUAGUGGAUCGUACCUUGCCCACGCCUUGAUUUUUUUUUAGGUUCUUUUCCGAGAGGGGGCCCUUUAAAAUGUAAUUUUUUUUUUAGAAAUAAAUUUUUUUAUUCUUUUAUUUUUUUGUAGGAGCAUUUUUUUCUUAAGAGAAGAAAAUAUAUAUAUUUUUUAUUGAUACUAGAAAUUUAGACAAGGCUCUAUUUUCUAAACUUUAGCGACGACUCUAUUUUCGAAAUAAAUAGGACCAGUUAUGAAAAUUUUUUGUUACAAUAUUUCACAUAGGCCUUCAGUUUGAUGGAAGUGCUAAAACUCUACAGUAAAAUGGGAAAGAUGGAGACUUCUCAACAUAGAUUAUUAGAGGCAGAGGCAAAAGAGGAAAACAUCCAUAAUUAACGCCAUUCUUUUGGUAUGUUUGGUCAUGAGGACCAAUUGCAUCUAUGCAUUUGUAAGACUAGCCUCUUAUUUAUUCAAAGACAGAGAUUCUAAGAAAGUAUUUUUAUUAUAUCUAGAGAGAGAAUCUCUACUUUGUUGUUCUUCCCCUUGGAAGAUAACAAUGAGAAUCAACAGAUGUUAGCGUCAUUAAAGCAGAAAUGCUUUAUCCAAAGGUUAGAGGCAAAAGAGUACUACAACUACGAUACAAAGUGGAAGUUAUAUACUUUCCUUUUAUCCAAUGUGAUGAGGUAUCAAGUAUUGUUUGAUACUUCAUCAUCCUAGAUAUAAGGGAAGUAUAUAUUUCAAUUGUAUUAUAGUUUUUUAUGCAUUUGCUUCAUAUCCUUGGAUAAACAUUUCAAAUUUAGUGACGUUACCGCUCUCGCAGUUCAUCUUCCGAGGGAUCUCUAACAUAGCCAUCAGUCCUUCAAGUUUGUCGUGAAGAACAAUGGGGUAGAGAUUCUCUCUCUAGAUGCAGUACAAAUAUUUUCAGACUUCUAUGUCUUCGAAGAAAUAUACUCAUAUUUUCAAAUGCAUAGAUACAAUAGAUUCUACAUAACUACACAAACCAAAGAAAGAUGUUAAUAUGGAGAUUUUCCUCCUCUGACUGUUUCUCAACAAUCUAAGUAGAGAAGGUCCCAUCUUCCCCUAAAUAGAGUUUUCAACACUUUUAUUGAUACACGAAAGAUAAGAGAAACACGAAACAAACACCAAAAUCAGUCCACUAGCCAAGAAACCGAGGACCUCUUUUAGUGACCUCUCUCGGAUUCGCUACCAACAAGAAGAAAACAAGGCACAAUGGCGUAAUAACACCAAAACAGUAGCAACACAACAAGAAACAAGAUGAACAAUAGACUAAUUUCGGAUUCCAUAUUAACAACACAAACACACGGUUACAACAUCAACACUACUACAUGAUUACAAAGAAACAAAAGGAAAGAUAGUUAGACAAAUUGAAGGUAUAAUAUUAACAACCCAAAAGCCUAUUCCACUCUUGGACCUUUAACAUCACACACAUCAAAUACCUAACUCUUCUUUUGGUACAAGAGUGACCCCGAUCUCCCAAGCAUCCAACAUUUUUAAGAUUGAAUCCAACAUGAGCGAUUCCACACUUAAGUUGAUUUCCAUAGUUACAAUUUCGGGUUGGUGGUCUUCUCUCCCUAAUGAAACCCUACAUUAUUCUAUUUAUAGUGUAUUACAAAUAAUAGGUAAAAUGACCCAAAGGCCCCAUAGUGAAGGGGCAACCCUUUAGUAUAUGUAGUGAACUAAUUUGGCCCAUUUAGUGUAUGUAGUGGACUGUUUUGGUGUCUAUUUAGGUGCUCCUUUGCCCUCAGGUCUAAUGUACGCCCUUAUAAGUCCAUCUACGUGAUGGUACUCGUAUCAUCAUCCCUUUCUUGAAAAGGAUUCGACCUCGAAUCCGUACCUUGCAAAAUCAAAGAGAACAAACAAGUACACAUCCCCAUGGCAUGAGGGCUAGGGUUAGCAAAAUAAACAACUAGCACUAUUAUGCCACGGUGGUACACACUUGAAGCACAACCAAGGAUCCUUUGUGUUAAUUAUGAAAAGCUUUUGUACAACAUCACAAACGAAAGGGCUCGGAUGAACAUCAAGAAUUAAGGGACAAAAACCGAGACUAUGCCUCUCAUAUGAUGUAUAUCCAACAACAUCAUGAAUAGGGAGAAUAGGGAAACUACCAUGCAACAAUCCAAUCCAAGGCAAGUAGUUUGCCCAAGAACUCGGCUUCCCUCUACAAAUGAUGUGAAGCGUGCUCCGAAGAGUCCCACAAGAUACUUCAACUUGUCCAACCCCAUGAAGGUGACAAGAAGUUUUUAACAUCCUUGGACCCUUCCACAAAUAAGAAUAAAACUUGGCAUCCUCAAGUUGUGGUUCACAUAACUUAAAUACAAGUGUGUCAAACAUGGAUACACGGAUAUGUGCAAUACCCCAAAGAGACAAUGACAUAUUUGCCCUAUGGUCCUCGAGUAGACACAAACCAUUAUUAACAUCAAAGGGAUCACAAUUCAAGUCGCCAUAUUUGUCAACCACGGGUGGGGUGUCAUGCAAAGGAGUACAAGCAAAAUCAUUUUUCAAAGAUAUGUCAAGCACAUGAUUAAUCCUAUGAGCCAAGCAAACAUUAGAAUCUUUACAACAACAUAGGCUCAACAUCUUCAAAUUCUUCACUCACAUGAGAUUCAUUAAUCACAUCACACAUAUUCUCAAGUGGUGGGAAAGUUUUACACACAAGUUGAUCAACACAAUUUUCACAUAAUGAUGUACUUUCAUUCAACACAAUAUCUUUAACACUAGGUGGACACAAAUCAAUCAUACUAGAAGAGUCGAUUCGGUCAUCUAUAGGAUCAACUAGUGUAUCUACUCGCACAACAUAUACAUCAUCCACAAGUGGUAAGAAAUCAAUAUACUUAUAUGUAGGUAAGCUACUACUCACACUCAAUGGUUUAUUAGUCACAUGUUCAUCAUUCACAUGUACCAAAGUAUAAGAGUUAGCUAUUUUUCCUUGACGUUCAUGAGUAUGUUCAUCUUUACCUCGGUGUGAAAGUCCUUUACAAGUUUGGGAAGAAACUUCCAUCGGGAAGCUCUCACCGCAAGGUGUUUAUGGACCUUAGGUUUUGAAUUUAUUAGGAUAAGUGUGGAUACCAAUUGGCGUAGCCUUUCAACGUGCCCUUUCAUGUCUUCAAUAUUGUCAGUGAUGCGGUUAAACCAUGGUACCUAAAAGAAAAGAAAACAACGAACAACAAAAAAACAAACUUGUUAGCUCAAAAAUGCCUCACCACACUCUCACUCUCAAUUUUUACCUCACAAUUGAUUUCACAAGUGUUGAAAGUCGGCUUGUACUUCGCGAGUGAUUGAGGAUCGAGUCUACUCUUGCCCAGAAUAGAUUUUCGUUUGAGUUGACUCAAAGAAAAUUUAUUUACGGACUUGAACCAACAAGAUACAACGAAUUCACAAAAGAUAAAAGCACACAAAAAACGUAGAUACGAACAAACAGACUCUACAACUAACUUACAAUCUAGUAGGAGAUUACUAGUUUGUUAAUUAGUGUUCGAACCAACAAACGGAACUAGGAAACAAUAAAAUGAAACUAAAAAAUAUGAAAUUUAAGCUUAGAAAUUGUCGGUGAACAGUAAAAAUGUGAUGUGGCAGCCACGUAUUGGUUGCGGUUGUUAUCAAAUUUUAUUUUCUAAUUCAAGUCUUGAUCCAAUUGUAAUUUAGAAUUGGUGGGAAUUGAUUAAGGAGAGAAAACAAGUCUUGAAAUCUUUUUUCAAAUUCAAAAAGCAAGACUUGACUUUUCUCCUCAAGACAUGGUCCUUAAAUCAUGGAAGGUUGUUGAAAAAGUGGUUGUUAAAUUCCUUGUGGUUGGAAUUGGUUGUAAAAGUCUUGAGAGGUCUUAAAUUUUGGAAAUAUGUCUUUCAAGACUAACAAAAUACACUCUCUUUCUUCAACUUCCAAGAUCAAACAUCCACUUUUUCUUCAACAAUAGAUGAAGAUGUGAAGAACACCAAGAACACAUUUUUUUGAAUCUUGAAGUUCAAAGGUUCAAGUUGGGACCCCAAACAUCAACAACACCUUUCCAAGCUUAAAAGUACAACACAAUAACCACCACACACAUUCAAACCUUGAACCAACAACACACCACACGUCCAAACUUUGAAUCCGCAACAACAAUACCAACAACAAUCACAUGGCCAAAGUUUAGGUUCACAAUAACAACAUCAACAAUUAAAGCUCAAAUCUAGAUCUAGACUUCUUUAGUUUUAGAGGUGAAGAAUCUAACACUAGAAACAACAAAACAAAUAAAAUGACUCCUAGAUCUAGACUCAAAACAAGAAAAAUCUCGGCCAAGACACAUCAAGAACACAAUUUUGGCCAAGACACAAAAAUGGACAGAUUCACUUCUUUUUGGAAUUUUUUGAUUUCAACUUUUUUAUUUUGAAUUUUCUAACAAGCAAGCCCAAGAUUGAUCUUGUAGGAACAAGAUCUAGCCUUGCUUUGAUACCAAAUGAUACACGAAAGACAAUAGAAACUCAAAACAAACACCAAAAUUAGUCCACUAGCCAAGAAACCAAGGACCUCUUUUGGUGACCCCUCUAAAAUUCGCUACCAACAAGAAGAAAACAAAGCACAAUGGCGUAAUAACACCAAAACAGUAGAAACACAACAAGAACAAGAUGAACAAUAGACUAAUUUUGGAUUCCACAUUAACAACACAAACACAUGGUUACAACAUCAACACUACUACAUGAUUACAAAGAAACAAAAGGAUAGAUAGUUAGACAAAUUGAAGGUAUAAUAUUAACAACCCAAAAUUCUAUUCCACUCUUGGACCUUUAACAUCACACACAUCAAAUACCUAACUCUUAUGUUGACAUAAGAGUGACCCCGAUCUCCCAAGCAUCCAACAUUUCCAAGAUUGAAUCCAACACGAUCAAUUCCACACUCAAGUUGAUUUCCCUAGUUACAAUUUUGGGUUGGUGGUCUUUUCUCCUUAGAGAGGAGAUAUUUCAAGUGUUAUAAACUCAUAAUAUUCAUUAAAAUCUCCCUAAUGAAAUCCUACAUUAUUCUAUUUAUAGUGUAUUGCAAAUAAUAGGUAAAAUGACCAAAAGGCCCCUUAGUGAACACUACAAGAAAUAACGCCUUUAGUGGCAACAAAAGUCGCGGCAAAAGACAUUUAGUGGCGACUGGGAGGUCGUUGGUUUUACGAUCGUAACUAAAGGUUAUUUGUGGCGACAUAUGAGUCGCCACUGAAUGAAAGAAUUUAGUAGCGACCCCAGGUAGCCACAGAAAAUGACGAGAGGCGACUUCACCUUGCUACAAUAGGCAAUUUCAAUAUAGAGGAAAUACACCUUUAGCGGCAACUUAUAGUCACCACUAAGAUUAAUAUUUUUGAAAAAAAAAAUUAAUACACCUUUAGCGGCAACUUAUAGUCGCCACUAAUAUUAAUAUUUUUGAAAAAAAAUUAAUAUAAAUUUGUUGUACAAUUAUUUCUUAAUACAAAAUUUAAUGUCUUCAGACUUCUAAUCAAUAAUUCUCCAUCAUUUAAAGAACCUUUCCCUAUAACGAACAAAGUAAAUUUUCAUUUCGAUAGCUUGAAAUUGAGAAAGAAAAGAUUUGAUCACAACAAUAGAAAAAAUUCAUGCUAACUAGCAUGUUAAUAUAAAUGUAUUACAAGUUUCUUACUCACAACUACACCGUACACAUGGAUAGACACACCCAAUGUUGCUAGAAUUCCUCAAACAAAAGAUAAACACCAAAGCAGUUUCUUAUCAAAUACUAGGUAGUGAAGGCAUAGGCCGAACGUUGGAGCAUUUUUCUUACUUAAAUGGCAUAUAUAUUUUACAGUUUUUACAUGUAGAAAUUAUAUGGCUGGCAAGUGUUAUCUUGUUUACAUCCAUCACUAUAUUAUUCACCUCAGACAUCUACCAUGCUAUACUAUUUACAUGUUGAAAAUGAUGUUGUUUGUAGCUUCUUAGUGAAACUUAACAAAAAAAAAGAAGCAAGAGACUAUAGACAAAUGAGAUUCUCGACCAAAUUUAGUAAGUCUACUUCUUAACACAUACAAUAAUCUAAUGUAUCUACCAAUGUCACCUAAAUUGAACAUUGCCUUCUACAAAAACAUGCUAAUGAAAAUAUUUAUAAUGUAGAUCCACAUUCUCUCCAUUUCUAGUGUGUUUUAUCAUUUCUCAAAGUCUGCAGGGAGAAACAUUUCACUUUGACCAAGUUGUAGUAACAAUCAAGGUGUAUAAGCAUCACCAAGUUGAAGGGACAAUUAAGGUGUCUAAGCAUCAAGCUACUAAACAUUCCAAGGAGAUAAAUAGAGGACCAACAAACAUCAUCUCUGUUUCUUCCAAGAUUGCAUGUGGUUAAGUAUUUUCAAAAGAAUCCAACCAUUUUAUCUAGCGAAGAUUCACAUAUUUGUAGCUUUAGAAACAUGAAAAGAAACAUCAACAUGGCCAAAAACAUGUGGCCUCAGAUUGUACCUGAUGUUCAGAAAUGAUGCACAAAUAUUUUUUGGUCUUGAGCUCUUAGCAAACGUCAAUAUGAUAAAAUUUGUAAAUUAAGUCAACUUGUAGAAUAUUAAUACUUCCCUGAUACUUCGUUUCAUGGAACACAAAUAAAUUAGUAAUCUGAAGCAAAUUUUUAAUGUGCCCUUGAAUUAGGGAAGUGAAGCAAUUUGUAUUCAGCAAUAUUUUAUAAAAAUAAAUAAGCAAGAAGAAACAACCAUAUUCAACCAUAACAAAGAUGAUGGAAGCCUCAUUAAAUACUCCAGUUCUACUAUGCCAAAACACAUGAAAAGUCAGCAUUGUCAUUAAGAUUAUAUCUAACACAAGUAAAAUAAGCGACAAACCCUGAAAAACUCAUCUCGAUCAAGCAAGCUGGUAGCAGAUAGAGGCAACUGCAAGUGUACAAGUAAAGAAAUAUUGAAGCAUCACGAGGGUAUGAUUUGAAGACAAAAAGCUAUAGGAAAUAGCAAAAUAUUUAGCUAAUCUCGAUAUCAAACCACUCGAUAGAACAGAACAGUCAAAGAAGACUAUCGACUUAGCUAAUCUCAAUUGAAGACCUACAUUAUAAAAAGGAAAAAGGAUUAACAGAAGUAAACAGAGGAGAAUAUUAGACAAACAUGAAAACAAAAAUAGAAGAAGACUAACCAGAAUGGAAAGUAUUAUUCUCAAAUAAACCAUAAGGUGCUGCACUAAACUAUAUCCCAUUCUUUUACUUUAAAUUAUCUCCAUAGUAAAAAUAUCUAGAAGAUAUAAAAAGCUUCUUAACUAAAUAAAUUAGGAACAUUUUGUUUAGCUAAACUACAAUAUCAUGUUAUCCAUGGAAACAUAUCGGAAGACAUCCGAGGAGCUAAAAUAACUCAAUUAUAAUGUUAAUGCUAGCUAACAACCAGCAAAAGUUCCAGGUAAGCUCUGGCGGCACAAUUGAAGAUCAGAAUUCAAAUAUCAAUUUACAUAAAAUCAAUCAAGCUAAAAAAGGAAAAAAUUUCAAUCAAUGGAAUCAAUUAUUCAAAUCAUCAAAGAAGGAAAAAUAUAUGACCAAGCCAUUUAGAGUGAAACCAAAUACGAAAUUGGAUGAAUCAAAAAAUCAAAAUCAACUGUUAUAAUUUCAAAUUUAAUAAUCUAUCAAAUAAAAGAACGAGAAGAAGAUAACAAUGUUAAUUUGGGACAUGAAAUUAAAUUGAGUACAAACCUGGAUGGAUUCACGGAUUUUGCCAGCGAUGAGUGGAAAUUAUGGCGGCGGAGAAGUGGACCAGUGGUGGUCCUUCGGACUGGCAGCUCCUGUUGCUGUUGCCUUUUCCGUCGGUAGAUGGGGAAUCUGACAGGCGCUUGAUCGGUGAUGGAGUUACCCACUUCUCCGGUGGAGGGCGGCGGCUACGUGGAGGGAUGGAGAAGGCGUUGUUUGAGGGCUGUUGGUGGGGCAGGGCUUGGUCGGAGAUGGCUUCAUUUGGGCUCACAAUAAGGGCUGUUGGUGGCGCGCGGCUCGCCGGAGCAUGGGUUUUCUGGUGGUUUUAAAGAGAAAGAGAGAGAGAGAGAAGGGAGAGAGGAGCGGCGCUGGUGUUGGGUGGUUGAUCGGCGGCGGUUCACCGGUGACAGUGAUGCAUCUGUUGUGGUGAGAGAGAGAGUAUGGGGAGGAGAGAGGUGGCUGCUUUGUUGUUGUUGAAAAUUGGAUUAGGUUUUAGGUUUUGUUUAAAGAAGAGAGUGAGAGAUUUGAUCUCAGUCAUUGGAUCAAUUUUGAUCCAAUGGCUGAGAUUAAAAGGGUUUAAAAG